Molecule: long non-coding RNA, 3454 nt
Filed under: Mus musculus (house mouse)
Lineage: Eukaryota; Metazoa; Chordata; Mammalia; Rodentia; Muridae
Description: long non-coding RNA chr8:91329431-91332885
Source: RNAcentral
UAGUUUAAAUGUUGCUGUGCGCAGUGUGGUGCAGCCGACCUUUAGCACUCUUCUUAGACAGCAGAGACUCUCUCCUACUUCCCUACUGCCCUCACUAGUCACUAUUCUGGUCUCCGAGGCUGCUAGUCUGACCACCAGCCUUGUGUUUUCAUUUAUACCCAGUGCCUGGUCUGCUGUGCAUUUGUUUGCUCUGUCGUUUUGGAACUGACCUGCUUAAAUAGAGACCAUGCCUUCUGUUUGGCUGAAGAAUUGCUCUGUAGUUGAUCUGAAGGGCAGUGGAGGGCUUAGCAGCUGUAGAAAACAAGUAUUAACGUGUUUGAAGGACCAUAUCAGCUUGCCUCUGGUCCGAGGAGAUGCAUUGGUAGCGAGUCAGUGUGUUCUUAACUGUUUGUGAUCAGAAGAGUCAAGAGCUCUGAUUUCUUUGUCAGCCCUCAGCCUGCCCUAUGGCACCGCCACUUACUGACUGGAUCACUCAAGGGCGAGCCUCAAGGGCCUGUGUUUCUCCAGUAAUAAUAUAAAACCGGCUGGUGUCGCCACCUCAGCUCACUGUGCUGAACUGUGAGUGAUUAAAGUCCCAGGGCUGUGUUAAUAAGGAUUCUUUCCGAGAGCAGCACUCUAUCUCCUCACUGUUUUCUGAAAACAGAGAUGGAAAAUUGUGCUGAUGAAUUUUCGCCCGCCCGUCAGCGUGAACAUUCUGCUUUUUUUAUUUGCUUGAAGGAUCUGAGCUGAGCAGCGGGCACACGUGCAAACCUUACAGUGUCUGCGGAUGCCAGCCGGUCCUCAUGCCAGUCGUGGUGUUUAGGUAAUAGUGUGCCGUUGUUGUUGUUGUUGAAUCAGCAGCUAAUACACUGCAGGCAGUUUUGGUUUGAGUCACAUUGUUGCUGGUAACACUAUUAAUGAGACAGUGAUUGGGAAAUAGCAGCCAUUGUUCUCAUAAAACACCAUCCUCCUGUGGCAGGCACAGGCGAGGCGGGCAGAGGAACCGCAUACGCAGGCAGGAGGAUUGGGCGAGGGCCACUGUUGCCAGCUUUUAAAUUCAGCAGACCCCUGCUGCUUAAAUUGUCCCAGCUGUUAAUGCUGGAGCCAUUACAGUAAUGGACUGAGCAAAUGAAGGAGAGCGAAGACACGCACACUUUAUUACCAGAGGGGCCAUUUCUCCUCAUCUGUAAUAGCAGCAGUGCUUCAUAUUGAUCAGACCAUCAAGAUACUAAUCCUCUGUAAAAUUACUUGUUAUAACUGAAAAUGUGUUAAUCCCAAUCAGUCUGUGUCCUGACUGUCUACUUACUAUUGAAUACAGACUGUUGGAUGGUUUAUUUUUCAUGAUUUAAAGCCUUUGCCUUGAAAAUAGCUGGUGCCGCCCUCGCAGCCCUGAGUGCUCGAUCUAAGCUGUAGCCCUGGGUUGUCUUUUUGUUUUAAGCAGAACAUCACCCACUUAAUUAAGGAGUGAGUGUCUGUCUGGCCAUCUGAGUUAUGCUGUGUUUUAUGGUCCUCUGGAUUUAUUAAGCAUCUUGUUUUACAUUCAGUCUGUGGUUUGUGCUGUAAAUAAAAACAGAGCCAUCUUGCACAUAUUAAAUGUGCAGGUACCAAAUGUCAAUAAGUACCGGGGUGGGAAGCUCUUUGAUUUAUAGUUCAGCGCCAGGUUGUGCUCUGGCGAUUGACCGCAUAGGCAGGAAGCAUUCGCUGUCUUCUGCUUAGCAGAUGUGAAUUUUGCAUUGUUAUCUGAGGAAGUUUCUAGUGAUUUCUGCAUCCUUGGUUUAGGAGAUUGCUUUUUUAGACAACGAGGCCUUUUGACUACUGUACCUCCCCACCCCUGGUUUGUGAGAAAUGACGUUUGCUAGGAAUUAGAAGAUCUGCUAAAAAACUGCUGAAAAUUUAUAGCUUCCUUAAUAUUUAGGAAUUUGGAAAUUAUUCCACAAAGUUUCCAUUUUUUACUAUAAUCUCUUUCCACAUGCCUUAUAUGCAUGCUUGUUUAUAGAUUCAGAUAGUUUCUUGGCAAUAUACAUUUUUUACUAUGAUGUCAUCACUCAAGGCAUUUGUGUGGCAUUUUUCUGUUUGAGUAUUUUCAGUGAUAACCUAAUUAGUCCUCUUUGUGAGCCAGGCCGUGUGUUAGGGUCUGGAGAAUCAAGGACAGAUGAAGUGUAACCUUUGCCACUGAUGACAUCAGUGCUGUUGAAGCUAUGCGUGUAAGCAGAUAAUGACUGCAGGGCCAUGGUAAACAGUGGAACCCACCACGAGUGCAGGGCUUGGGACUGAGCAAAGGCCAAGGCGCCUGCGGGGGUUGCUGCUGUGUCACAGAACACAGCUGCUGUUUGUAUAAUUAUCCUAAGCCUUGUUUAAGAAUGACUUCUAGCUGUGUGGAAGAAUUUUCCGAGGAGACAUGUAUACUGUGCUCUGGGGACAGUGAAAGGAAGGGUUUUCUGAAAUCGUUUUGAUCAGUGGCCACACCUUUGGUUAUGUAUAUUAUUUCACUAGCAGACUGCUUUAAAGGAACCGAGUGCUUAUCUUACUGCUUGUGCCCUGGACUUUGCAUUAGAAAUCAGUUCUGCUGUUCAUCUGAAGAGGCUGUAGCCUGUGGUAGUUGAGAGCACAAAUCCACAGAUUUUUGGAUCUAGGCUGCUUUGUUGUGUCCCCCACUGGCCCCCUUGCUACUUGCCAGGUGACUGAUGGUUUGCAAGUCACAUGAUCAUUGAGCAUCACUCAUCAUCUCUGCAGUGGGGCUGGUAAUCGUGGUGGAGAUCAGGGGGUUUGACGUAUGUAAGGCAUUUAGGACAGUGGUGGCUGCCACUGCCUUCCGAGGGACUGUGAUGAGAUCAGUUUGCCCGUGUGAAUUAUGAAAGUUGGAUCUGUAAAUGUUAUAACCAUACUGUGUGUGGUGUAAGAUGGUGAAACGUUCAUUACUUAAUAUAUUUUUUUUCCUGAUUACAGUAAUGAUUUGGAAAAACUGAAAGAGGACUUUUUAAAAAUUUUUUUUUGAAUAAAAGUAGUCCCCUAGAGAUGAGCACUGGGAUUUUUUGUUUUCGUUUUGUUUACAUUAUUGUAUAGUGUUUAUUAUGUACAAUGCACAUAGUAUGAUCCUCACACCACUUAAAACAUAUUUACAAUUUAAAAAUUUAUAUAUUUUAAAAACUCAGGUUGUACUUAUGGUCUUCACUUGCGACAACAUUUUGAACAAAAGUUGGAGUCAUGUAUGUAUUUUGUACCCUGUUUUUCUCACCAAUAUCCAAUGUAUUGUGAAUAUUUUCGUAUCAUUGUAGUGAUACAUAAUGUCUUCGUGUGCAGUCUUUCCCUCUGUUACAGUUCGUUGUUUAGUGAACACUUACACAUAAAUCCCUGCACAUCUGUGGAGUUUCUCCUAGGGCGAACGAAGGGAAAGAACGUGACCUUUGUGGGUUGGCCUUUGUCAAGAACUCGGGACACUACUUGAUGCCGGGGAGGGGAUGCCAGUUUCUUAUUU